RNAcentral lists this ribosomal RNA (411 nucleotides) under uncultured bacterium. RNAcentral's name for it is "bacterial SSU rRNA". It matches the Rfam family "Bacterial small subunit ribosomal RNA", at positions 355 to 763 of the family's 1533-position model. The record is from RNAcentral.
UGAGGAAUAUUGGGCAAUGCCCGCAAGGGUGACCCAGCAACGCCGCGUGGAGGAUGAAUGUCGUAAGAUUGUAAACUCCUGUUAGAGGGGAAGAAUAGUACCGGUUGGACCGGUAUAUGACUGUACCCUCAGAGAAAGCCCCGGCUAACUACGUGCCAGCAGCCGCGGUAAUACGUAGGGGGCAAGCGUUGUCCGGAUUUACUGGGUGUCAAGGGCGCGCAGGCGGGAUAAAAAGUCAGUGGUGAAAUCCUACAGCUUAACUGUAGAACUGCCUUUGAUACUUUCAUUCUUGAGUUCGGGAGAGAGAGACGGAAAUCCAGGUGGAGUGGUGAAAUACGUAGAUAUCUGGAAGAACACCAGUUGCGAAGGCGGUCUCUUGGUCCGAUACUGACGCUGAGGCGCGAAAGCGUG